GUAGGGAAUAUUGGGCAAUGGAUGCAAGUCUGACCCAGCAACGCCGCGUGAAGGAAGAAGGUUUUCGGAUCGUAAACUUCUAUCCUUGGUGAAGAUAAUGACGGUAGCCAAGAAGGAAGCCCCGGCUAACUACGUGCCAGCAGCCGCGGUAAUACGUAGGGGGCAAGCGUUGUCCGGAAUGAUUGGGCGUAAAGGGCGCGUAGGCGGCCUGGUAAGUCUGGAGUGAAAGUCCUGCUUUUAAGGUGGGAAUUGCUUUGGAUACUGUCGGGCUUGAGUGCAGGAGAGGUAAGUGGAAUUCCCGGUGUAGCGGUGAAAUGCGUAGAGAUCGGGAGGAACACCAGUGGCGAAGGCGACUUACUGGACUGUAACUGACGCUGAGGCGCGAAAGUGUGGGGAGCAAACAGGAUUAGAUACCCUUGUAGUCC
RNAcentral lists this ribosomal RNA (425 nucleotides) under uncultured bacterium. Its description in RNAcentral is "partial 16S ribosomal RNA". It matches the Rfam family "Bacterial small subunit ribosomal RNA", at positions 354 to 796 of the family's 1533-position model. The record is from RNAcentral.